RNAcentral lists this ribosomal RNA (501 nucleotides) under uncultured bacterium. RNAcentral describes it as "partial 16S ribosomal RNA". It matches the Rfam family "Bacterial small subunit ribosomal RNA", at positions 29 to 523 of the family's 1533-position model. The record is from RNAcentral.
AUUGAACGCUGGCGGCAUGCCUUACACAUGCAAGUCGAACGGCAGCACGGGUGCUUGCACCUGGUGGCGAGUGGCGAACGGGUGAGUAAUACAUCGGAACGUACCUUAUCGUGGGGGAUAACGCAGCGAAAGCUGUGCUAAUACCGCAUACGCCCUGAGGGGGAAAGCGGGGGAUCGAAAGACCUCGCGCGAUUAGAGCGGCCGAUGCCCGAUUAGCUUGUUGGUGGGGUAAAAGCCCACCAAGGCGACGAUCAGUAGCUGGUCUGAGAGGACGAGCAGCCACACUGGGACUGAGACACGGCCCAGACUCCUACGGGAGGCAGCAGUGGGGAAUUUUGGACAAUGGGGGCAACCCUGAUCCAGCAAUGCCGCGUGAGUGAAGAAGGCCUUCGGGUUGUAAAGCUCUUUUGUCAGGGAAGAAACACCGGCUCUAACACAGUCCGGGAAUGACGGUACCUGAAGAAUAAGCACCGGCUAACUACGUGCCAGCAGCCGCGGUAA